AAAAAGAUCGCAAGCAUGGUUUGGUUAAAUUGCAGAGAACAUCGAGUUCUUGCCAGGAGUCACAAGAACCAAGAACAGGCUUUAGCUGGAAUAAACUGUUCAGUACACUAGAAAAGUAAAGGCUAUUAACAACUAAUAGCUAUCAAAGAGCACUGAGAAACUGACCUGGCUUCCAACAGGCAACUAAUUUCUAAAGAAAUAAAGCAGCAAAAGUCCCAUUAAGAGUGCAACCUCCCCGCCCCCCAUGGGUUUGCACGCUGCUAAAUUGUGAGAACUCUCUGGAGCAGUCUAAGUUCCGUGUAUGCAGAGGAUUACGGCGGAUUCGAUGGAUUACAACAGAUAAACUGGAUUUUUAUUUUAUUUUAAUAAAAUGGUUAACGAGGG
Molecule: long non-coding RNA, 384 nt
Organism: Hyla sarda
Lineage: Eukaryota; Metazoa; Chordata; Amphibia; Anura; Hylidae
Exons: 3
Source: RefSeq, a predicted model, not a curated record